This 281-nucleotide ribosomal RNA is filed under the name uncultured bacterium. RNAcentral describes it as "partial 16S ribosomal RNA". It matches the Rfam family "Bacterial small subunit ribosomal RNA", at positions 29 to 314 of the family's 1533-position model. The record is from RNAcentral.
AAUAAACGUUGGCGGCGUGCCUAACACAUGCAAGUCGAGCGAGAAAGGUUCCUUCGGGAGCGAGUACAGCGGCGGACGGGUGAGUAACACGUGGGAAUUUACCUUUUAGUGAAGAAUACUCUCGAGAAAUCGAGGUUAAUGCUGCAUACGUCCCUUCGGGGANAAAGAUGGCCUCUUUGCUGUCGCUAAAAGAUGAGCCUGCGGACUAUUAGCUAGUUGGUAGGGUAAAGGCCUACCAAGGCAUGAUGGAUAGCCGGCCUGAGAGGGUGUUCGGCCACAUU